This 255-nucleotide ribosomal RNA is filed under the name uncultured bacterium. RNAcentral describes it as "partial 16S ribosomal RNA". It matches the Rfam family "Bacterial small subunit ribosomal RNA", at positions 524 to 776 of the family's 1533-position model. The record is from RNAcentral.
UACGUAGGGGGGCAAGCGUUGUCCGGAAUCAUUGGGCGUAAAGAGCGUGUAGGCGGCCCGAUAAGUCCGCUGUGAAAGUCCAGGGCUCAACCCUGGGAUGCCGGUGGAUACUGUCGGGCUCGAGUCCGGAAGAGGAGUGUGGAAUUCCUGGUGUAGCGGUGAAAUGCGCAGAUAUCAGGAGGAACACCAAUGGCGAAGGCAGCACUCUGGGACGUGACUGACGCUGAGACGCGAAAAGCGUGGGGAGCAAACAGG